This is a long non-coding RNA of Musca domestica (house fly), 278 nucleotides long. RefSeq lists it as uncharacterized. The transcript has 3 exons. The record is from RefSeq and is a predicted model, not a curated record. Lineage: Eukaryota; Metazoa; Arthropoda; Insecta; Diptera; Muscidae.
GUCAAAGCAAAUCCUACUACACCUGAUAUCGGCUCUGAAUGAAGUAGGUUACCCUGUAGUGGCUGUUGUUUGUGAUAUGGGUCCAACCAAUCGGAAGUUGUGGAAAGAGUUUGACAUAACUUCAGAGUCAUCGAUUUCUUACAGGAAAAAUCAGACAACUCUGAAGCAAUCGAAAAGCCAUGGUUUCCACAUCCAACUAAUCCAGAAGAGAAAGUAUUUACAUUUGCGGAUGUUCCUCACUUAUUAAAACUCGUAAGGAACCACUUUCUCGAUUCAGG